This is a non-coding RNA of Drosophila melanogaster (fruit fly), 1099 nucleotides long. Lineage: Eukaryota; Metazoa; Arthropoda; Insecta; Diptera; Drosophilidae. The record is from Ensembl.
UCGGCGCGACGAUGACGUUUUCAGCACUCGUGCCUCGGGAAAACACCCGUAAUGUGAAAACUGUGUGCCGCCUAAUCCGUUAAACUGGCCGAUUUCAUGGCCCCGCUGGCGUCAUGGCUUAAAUACUAUAUACCACAACUAGUGGAUGCACCUCACCUGGUCAUAUGUUCUUCGGCGAUUUGUUUUGCUCUGGUUUGUCAUCCGAUGUCGGGCACUUUUGGCGCCCAUCGCCAUUAUGGUACUAUAUAGCCAACUUAUAAAUAUAGAUGUUUGUUUUGCCACGUCUAAUAGUCAACUGAGUCUAGUGCAUUUCGCCCUGCAUUUUCACUUCUGCAAUCGAUUGGCAACCCUCGGUUUAGUGUUUAACUGCAUUUCACCAUAGAAACUAAUUUUCUACUUGGGUAGUUGUUUCAAAAAACCUAUCCGAAGACUAUCGAAAGGAUACCUAUCCAUAUGUAGCGCAUGAUAAUCAUUCUGUAAUAUUGACAAUUAAAUCAAUUUAGAAUGUGCAUAUAGUAGAUUCCUGUGAAUUGAAGGCUCACAUGGCCCACUUGCAGUUGAAAACGCUAACCGCAGAGUGCUUAAAAGCUGAUUGCUGGGAAACACUUAAUGGGCGCUAAGUUAGCCGCAAAAUACAGUCGCUUAAGAAGCGGCUAACAAGUGGCUAACCGACUUUGCCGCAGCGAAUGAAUUGGCAAAGCCUUUCAAGCCGUUUAGUAAGCCCAAUAAUCGGAUGCCCCACCGCCGGGCGCCCUAACACCACCCACCGAACCAACCACCCACUCGGCAAUGAAAUGAUCGAUCUAUCUUUCCCAUGCUUGAGCUUCAAUCGGCGAUGUUUUUUUUAUGCGGUUAUUAAUAAAAAUGCAUUGGCCAUCCCUAGCCGUCGAUAGUGAGUAUCUGUGUGGAAAUCGGACGCACUGCAUCUGUGUGCGGUGUUUAUUGUGCAGCUUGUAAAUCAUUUUGCGUCAGGCUGCGUCCGCUGCCGUCUGCUGAAACUGCGGCGCUUUGCUGACGCUGGUAAACAUGUGUACGACACCAAAAACAGCAGCACAUGCUCACCGAGAGCCAAGACGGGUCUGCACACACAACUAAGGUC